This 492-nucleotide ribosomal RNA is filed under the name uncultured bacterium. Its description in RNAcentral is "partial 16S ribosomal RNA". It matches the Rfam family "Bacterial small subunit ribosomal RNA", at positions 29 to 507 of the family's 1533-position model. The record is from RNAcentral.
AGUGAACGCUGGCGGUAGGCCUAACACAUGCAAGUCGAACGGCAGCACAGUAAGAGCUUGCUCUUACGGGUGGCGAGUGGCGGACGGGAGAGGAAUACAUCGGAAUCUACUUUUUGGUGGGGGAUAACGUAGGGAAACUUAAGAUAAUACAGCAUACGACCUACGGGGGAAAGCAGGGGAAAUUCGGAGCUGGCGCGAUUGAAUGAGCCGAUGUCGGGUUAGCUGGUGGGGGGGGGAAAGGCCAACCAAGGGGACGAUACGUAGCUGGUCUGAGAGGAUGGUCGGCCACCUUGGAGCUUGGCCACGGUCCAUACUCCUACGGGAGGCAGCAGUCUCGAACAUUGGGCAAUGGUCGCAAGCCUUGUCCAGCCAUCCCGCGUGUGUUGCGACGGCCUUCCGUUUGUAAAGCCCUUUUUUUGGGAAAGAACAGCUUCCGGUUAUUACCCCGCUUUUCUGACGGUACCCAAUGAAUAAGCACCGGCUAACUUCGUG